Long non-coding RNA from Gallus gallus (chicken), 1769 nucleotides. RefSeq lists it as uncharacterized. NCBI's taxonomy places the organism in Eukaryota, Metazoa, Chordata, Aves, Galliformes, Phasianidae. The transcript has 5 exons. The record is from RefSeq and is a predicted model, not a curated record.
UGAGUCUGAAGGGACCUUUAGAGGUACUCUGGUCCAACUCCUUGGCAAUGAAAAGAGACACCUACAGCUAGAUCAGGUGUCCAGAGCCCCGUCCAUCCUGUGUUAAGUCAAAGCCUAAAUCAGAGCUUCAGUGAUGAUGUAGCAAAUGGCAACAGGUGAAAAGGACUCCCAGUGAGUGAGAAGCAGCACCCUCUGAUUUUUGAGGCUUUUAUUUUGAGUCCCAGUGGGGAGUUCUGCAAGAUGUGUUCUCCUUUCUGCUGAUGCUGCCCACAGUCAGUUUCAGAAUGACUCAAGUUCAAUCUGAAGCCUGCCCUGCACUCCUGCUGCAGACUGAAGCCUAACAGGAACUGUUCUGACAGAAUAUAGAUUGUGAAGAAGAAAUACUGCUCAAGGUUACUGUGAUCUUUUAAAUAUGCAACUAAAAACGAGACUGGAUAAGGAAAUACCUCAAGGUACAGGAAUUGAAAGGAUAAUUAUCAACUAUAUCAUUUGAUUUGGGGAAAAAAGAGGGACUGAAAACACACUUGAACAAGAGUCCAUAUACUUUGUGACCCCCAACUGGUGGAAGGACAGGGCUCAAGGCCAUCUGCCCCAGCUUCUCCCGACAUCUGCUGCCCUAACUGGCCGACCUGAGGAUCUGACUUGUCUCCUCUGUGGCACCACGAAGUGACAGGUGGUUCUCCAAGGAGGAAGACCACAGAAGGAAGAUCACAGGCCAGUUCAAGCUCUGAGAACCCAGUGUACUCUCUGAGUUAAAAUUGACAAUCAGAGCACAACCAGACUCAAAACACCGGUGGAUGUGUUUCUGGAGGUUUACACGCGUCCUGUUGCGAUGUCCUCUGAGGCUGGAUCAUUUUAACUACUCUGGCAGUGUUAAAUUGGGAUGAAAACCAUGCGUGGAUUGCUUCUAUCAGCCCUGUGGCUGCAUUCAUCGCUGGAUUAAAUGCACACAGCUCCAGCUCCACCAGCACAGGCAGAGAGGUGAUGGGAAGAGCCAGACGAGCAGCUCUCUUCUGCGUCUCACAAAACACCAAGUUCCCCAGAAGUUAAGGGAGCUGCAUCCCUUCUUCCCCAGGAGGAGCACUUCAGCACUUGUAACUACUUCUAGGAAAAAUCCACCCAUUUCACACUGCCCGUCACAUCCUUCUUGCAUACACAAAGUGCUGACUAAAUCACUGCAAGUUCUGUUACUUCAUCUCUAAAGUGCAGAGGUACUUCGAUUUGCUAUCUGCUGGUGUCACUGACUCUGCUCUGUUUGUGUGUGUCUUCUCCCAGUUUUCUAUUAGUUAUAUCUCAGUUCAGGAUGGGGCAAGAAGCAUCUUCCUGAAGAAGGCAACUGAAGUUUCUGUUGCCACCAAUCUGGAAGUACAAAAAUCUGUGUUUGGUGUCAAAACGAGCAUUUCUUGCACCUAGAAGGCUUCACGAAGUUGUAAAUUGAGGUGUAUUAAGCCACAUGAACUUGAUUGAAAGUGCAGAAGCACACAGUGAGCACUGCAGCCAUGCUUGGAAAGUAGAGAACCAGGGGGCUGCUAGCCCUCCGUGAUGAUGCAUGAUUAACUUGUGCAAGCUUGGUGCCCAUCACCCCUCUUGUAAGUGGGAAUAGGACUGGAAGGAGUGACCUUGUGGGUGCAGGGAAGGAGGCAGGUACAUAAAGCAGCUAGGAUUAAAAUCUAAAUAAAGAUGACAGGAUGAGAGGUAAUGACCUUAAGUUGCACCAGGGGAGGUUCAGGUUGGGUGUUAAGAACAAUUUCUUCUCAGCAAGAGCAGUG